Molecule: ribosomal RNA, 629 nt
Filed under: uncultured bacterium
Lineage: Bacteria
Description: bacterial SSU rRNA
Rfam family: Bacterial small subunit ribosomal RNA (bases 1-540)
Source: RNAcentral
CCUACGGGAGGCAGCAGUGGGGAAUUUUGGACAAUGGGCGAAAGCCUGAUCCAGCAAUGCCGCGUGAGUGAAGAAGGCCUUCGGGUUGUAAAGCUCUUUUGUCAGGGAAGAAACGGUGAUUUCUAAUACAGAUUGCUAAUGACGGUACCUGAAGAAUAAGCACCGGCUAACUACGUGCCAGCAGCCGCGGUAAUACGUAGGGUGCAAGCGUUAAUCGGAAUUACUGGGCGUAAAGCGUGCGCAGGCGGUUUUGUAAGUCUGACGUGAAAUCCCCGGGCUCAACCUGGGAAUUGCGUUGGAGACUGCAAGGCUAGAGUUUGGCAGAGGGGGGUAGAAUUCCACGUGUAGCAGUGAAAUGCGUAGAUAUGUGGAGGAACACCGAUGGCGAAGGCAGCCCCCUGGGUCAAGACUGACGCUCAUGCACGAAAGCGUGGGGAGCAAACAGGAUUAGAUACCCUGGUAGUCCACGCCCUAAACGAUGUCUACUAGUUGUCGGGUCUUAAUUGACUUGGUAACGCAGCUACGCGUGAGUAGACCGCCGNGGGAGGUACGGUCGGUCGAGAGUUAAACGUAACGAAAGGAAGUUAGACGGCGNGAGACGNGCCGACGGACGACGACGAGGGAGGAGG